UACAGAGGGUGCUAGCGUUGUUCGGAAUCAUUGGGCGUAAAGGGCGUGUAGGCGGUUUGUUAAGUCAUGUGUGAAAUCCCUCGGCUCAACCGGGGAACGACGCAUGAAACUGGCAAGCUAGAGUACCAAAGAGGGGGGUGGAAUUCCCGGUGUAGCGGUGAAAUGCGCAGAUAUCGGGAAGAACACCCGUGGCGAAGGCGGCUCUCUGGGACGGUACUGACGCUGAGACGCGAAAGCGUGGGGAGCAAACAGG
This 253-nucleotide ribosomal RNA is filed under the name uncultured bacterium. RNAcentral's name for it is "partial 16S ribosomal RNA". It matches the Rfam family "Bacterial small subunit ribosomal RNA", at positions 524 to 776 of the family's 1533-position model. The record is from RNAcentral.